Molecule: long non-coding RNA, 282 nt
Filed under: Lathyrus oleraceus (garden pea)
Lineage: Eukaryota; Viridiplantae; Streptophyta; Magnoliopsida; Fabales; Fabaceae
Description: Pisum sativum (pea) long non-coding RNA (PSAT_LNC006395)
Source: RNAcentral
CAUAACAUAACAUUGCAUAACAGGUACUCUAAAGGGAUCAAUGUUCUCACGGUUUUCCUCCAAACAGAAAAAUGGACCUCGAACAAACUGUCAAGGAUCUCCAUGCUCAGAAUGCUCAACUCCAGGAGAUGAUCUUGAACUUAUCCAGGGGGCAGGAGGAACUGAAAGCUCUCUUGCUCGAGAAAAAGAAAGACAAGAAAGCUGUGAGUUACAUUAACCCGGGAAGAAGGCUUAAAGGACAGGCUGCGGGAAUCAAAAUCAGAAUUCCGAAGGAUCAAGAAG